GAUGAAGAACGUAGUGAAAUGCGAUAAGUAAUGUGAAUUGCAGAAUUCAGUGAAUCAUCGAAUCUUUGAACGCACAUUGCGCCCCUUGGUAUUCCGGGGGGCAUGCCUGUUCGAGCGUCAUUUCAACCCUCAAGCUUCUGCUUGGUCUUGGGCCGUGCCGGCAACGGCUGGCCUUAAAACUAGUGGCGGUGCCAUCGAGCUCUACGCGUAGUAAUUCUAUCUCGCGUCUGGGCUUCGGUGGACGCUGGCCAGCAACCCCCAAUUUUCUAUGGUUGACCUCGGAUCAGGUAGGGAUACUCGCUGAACUUAAGCAUAUCAAUAAGCGGAGGA
RNAcentral lists this unclassified non-coding RNA (330 nucleotides) under soil metagenome. RNAcentral's name for it is "partial contains 5.8S ribosomal RNA, internal transcribed spacer 2, and large subunit ribosomal RNA". The stretch from base 1 to 120 matches the Rfam family "5.8S ribosomal RNA", at positions 35 to 154 of the family's 154-position model. The record is from RNAcentral.